Long non-coding RNA from Pezoporus occidentalis (night parrot), 2534 nucleotides. RefSeq lists it as uncharacterized. Lineage: Eukaryota; Metazoa; Chordata; Aves; Psittaciformes; Psittacidae. The transcript is spliced from 2 exons. The record is from RefSeq and is a predicted model, not a curated record.
AAUAACAACAAAACCCCCAGAACACACCACUGAUCUAGCUCCCCUCUCAAACCGACCAGACUAACUUGGGUAUGCUAAAACUUGCCCUGUCCAAUAACAGUGCAGAUCAUAGACCAGUUUCUAAACAAUUCUGUGCCAGCCAAAACAGCAGGAGUAGGUUGGUGCAAGCUUUUGGAAUCAGCUAUUAAAAUAUUGACAUUGUCUUCAGAAGUUUCUGGAUGUCUGCCCUAUGAAAAUAUUAACCUGUUUGAUGGAGGCUGCUUACAAUAACUGUUAAAUAAGCUCUAGUGGUGUUGUAUUAAUUUGAAGAAUAAGGACUUUGUUGUGAACCUAAUCUUCUUGUGAGAUCUCAUGUUGUGGAGGGAAAACUGACCAGUUGUUUUUCAUUCUCUAAACAGUGGUAGUACUCUGUUGGAAUGUGCCUCUGUCAUUCACUACAAAGCAUGCUAAUAAUAACUUUUGCAAACAACGUAGAAAAUAAACUACUUCUGAUGGGUGAAACCACUUUGAUGUGAAUGCAAAGCCAUUAAGGAAUGUGCAGUUAAAUUUCAUGGAUUAAGCUUUAUCAGGUGUUAUACAAACCUAGAUUAAAAAAAAAAUCAGAUUUGUUAGCUUUUCUUCAAGGAAGAAAAGUGUUUGUGUGGCCAGCGUCUGUAACUCUGCAACAAUUUACUGGCAUCUUGUGUACUUGGAAAAGCUAGCAUGAAAUAUCCAUGAGUGUGAGCAUUUCUAUGUUAGGAUGAAAUAGGUCAUAGUCUGUAUAUCCCUGUUUCUGAAUGUUAACUGUAAAGGCAGUUUUUAAUAAGAUUAGAUGCAAAUACCUGAAGUUCAGUGAGUCAAUAUACAGAGAUUUAGUUCAAGACAUUUCUGGUUCUGAACAGAAUGAGUGACAUUACACAGUCCUUCAUACAACCUAGUUUGUAAUAGCUGGUAUUCUUCAUACUACAUACUUGUUUCUUGUACAGCAGACAAGACACUCUUAGAUUUUGAGGAAAGCUGAAAUGUUUUAAGCUGUACCUGUUAAAUUUCUUUAAAACAAGGCUUGAUUCUGUGAAAUUCUUCAGACUUCUAUAUAACUUAUUUGAUUUUAUUUUGUGUGCAUCUGAAAUACUAGAAAUUUUGGUAACCUUCAUAUCUAGGACUAAUUUAAUAGCAUCUGUGUAAAUGCUGCUGCAUAAAUCAGUAUUUGCCUCUAAUUCUGAAAGGUGAUGAAGGGUCCAAGUCUUAACAUAUUGCUGAAAGGACCCAUCUCUUCUGUCCUCCCAUCGCUAACAUUCUGCUGCCUCCCUUAUGCUAGCACAAGCACUUUAUGGUUAGCUUACCAUGUUCUACCUUACUAAGUUAUUCGUGCUGAUGGAUAUAACUAGCAGGAGUGGUGUGUAUUUAAACAGGCAUAGAAAUUAUUUUAAAUAAGUCUGCUAAGUCAGUUUGGGAGUUAGAAUGUUACAACUGUGGCUAUUUACAGCUAAAAGUGGUUGUUCAUGAUCAUGCACUCAGAUUUUCCCAAUGGGUUCUCUUUGAGCAAUUUGCAGAAAGAACACACCUGGUUUUUCUUCCCUCUUAGGGUGCUUCAUACGAUGGUGUCUUUCCUAAGCUAACAGUUCUUUCAUCUCUGCAGAUAAGUAAUAUUUGUUGUCUCGUAUAGACUGAAAGUUGAAGCACCGAGGUUAAAGUAUAACCAUCCACUUACCUUGAAUGCACAUUUAAAUUACAUGGGGUCUUACCAGUUAAUACAAGAAAGUAGUUAAAGAACAGUAAAAAUUCUGAUGUGUGUGCUGUGUUGUGAGCCACAUUUUUAGGUCAGCAGAGUUCACAAACACGAACUCUGCCUGGCGUCCCUGUGCAAUAUAAGAGCCCAUGUCUCAGACUUGCAAUACAGACAAGAGAGUGCUUCAAAUCACCUUUGCAGUUACUUCUUCACACUGUUUUUAAUCUUACAUUGCAAUACAAUUCACUUCUGUGUGGAUGGUAGAUUAAAAAGAAAAGUUUGCUUCUGGUGCUCACAACCUGAUGAAAAUUUAGACACAUUUAAAUACUGCUGAUGGAGACCCUAAGACCAAAGCUGGCUUUCUGUUGGUCUUCUUGAUCUCUUAAUUCUGUUCAGAUGAAAGGUGACUGUUUUUAACUCAAAUAAAACAACAUGAAGUCGUUAAGCCAGUAAUGCAAAAUCAUGUAACACCUAUGUGGCAGACAGACACUGCUUCUCCCAGUGCCAGGCGUACAGUUCCUAACUAAAUUAAUUCUAUCAGUAUUAUCAGCAUAAUUCACUCCUCCCUCUGACAAAAAAAAAAACCACUUGCACAGGAUUAGCUGUUCCACAUCACUUCAGAAACCGUGGAAAACUGAUUCAGGCAGUCAUUUUGCAUGUAAUGUAGUGUGGGUUAUAAAGCAGUGAUGGCUUUGUUGUUGUUUCCUGCCAUUAGGGCUUCAUUAUAUGUUUCUAACUGACUCAAGGAAUGCCAAAUUCUACUUAACCAAAUUACCAGAAAAGCAUCUGGCAAAACAAAAGGGAAAAAUAAAUCAUCUGGUUUUUA